GACGAACGUUGGCGGCGUGCUUAAUACAUGCAAGUCAACUGAAGCAGUGGUAGCAAUAUCGCUGUGGAGGUGGCGCACGGGUGAGUAACACGUAGGUAAUCUGCCUUCAGGUCUGGCAUAACUCCGGGAAGCCGGGGCUAAUAGCAGAUGAUGCAGCGGCUCGACAUCGAGACAGUUGUUAAAGCUAUGGCGCCUGAAGAUGAGCCUGCGUCUGAUUAGCUAGUUGGCGGGGUAACGGCCCACCAAGGCAACGAUCAGUAGCUGGUCUGAGAGGAUGAUCAGCCACACUGGAACUGAGACACGGUCCAGACUCCUACGGGAGGCAGCAGUAAGGAAUAUUGCUCAAUGGGAGAAAUCCUGAAGCAGCAACGCCGCGUGGGGGACGAAGGGCUUUUGCUUGUAAACCUCUGUAGUGAGAGAAAAAAAUCCCAAUCUUUGGGACAUGAUGGUAUCUCAAAAGUAAGCCCCGGCUAACUACGUG
This 481-nucleotide ribosomal RNA is filed under the name uncultured bacterium. RNAcentral describes it as "partial 16S ribosomal RNA". It matches the Rfam family "Bacterial small subunit ribosomal RNA", at positions 28 to 507 of the family's 1533-position model. The record is from RNAcentral.